Cherax quadricarinatus is the source of this 392-nucleotide non-coding RNA. The record is from RefSeq and is a predicted model, not a curated record. Lineage: Eukaryota; Metazoa; Arthropoda; Malacostraca; Decapoda; Parastacidae.
GUAAAACUAACAACCAUAGCACUCAUCUCGUCAGUGUGAGCAUCAGUCUUCAAGAGCAGAACAAUCUACACAGUCUUGGCUAAGUUGGAAGGUCAGAAAAUGCCAGACUUUGAUGGCAAAUGGCUGAGGGAGGCGUCAAAGGUGGAGAAGUUCUUCGAGGAUUGUCAUCAGAAAGGCACUUUACUAGUCGCUUACCACGUCAACCUCAAUACAACUGUACCUCUCCAAGAGGACCAGGUUAAACUGGCUCUUACACACCUCUACAGGAAGGUUCCAUGCCUACAUGUGUGUUUUGGCGAGCGUGAAGGAAUACUGUGGAUCCGUGAAGCAACCAACAAAAAUGUUGACUUUAAGGUAAGUCUGAAGUCUGUGAAGCAAACAAUAAAAACUGG